AUGAUUGUGAGGCUUCUCCAGCAACGUGGAACUGAAGUGACGGCAGCCCUGUGACUGUUAACCCGGAAAACUGCGAGAGGCUUUCCCAUGGAGGGGUCCUCACACCUGGGUUCACCCCUGCCGGAAGACACUGCUGCAUUGUGUGCAGCAGCUGCAAGGCCUGCGUGAUGGAAGGCGAGAGCCCCUGGCCGGCUGCCCUGGCCACAGGCCACGAUCAGCUGAGUGCCUUGAUGGCUCCAUAACGGCUUUCUCAAUGAGCAAGCUACUUUUCAUAACAACAACAAAGCAACGACGCCUUGAUGCCACAUUCAUGCCACCGCCCUCACCACUUGGCCCCCGCAGCCUCGGAAGCCUGCCCACCUGCAGGUGUGGUUUGCACAGGACGGCACAUCCCUCCUCGUCCUGGGUUUAAGCUUAAACACACAGAUGGAGAGACCAAGGAGCUGAGGCGCUAAGGAGAUGACCUAAGGUUGCAAAGUGAAAAGCAAGGCCAAGGAGGGGCUUCAUUUCAAAUACCAGAUGCGGGGCCGGCCCUCCAUCCACUCCUCGGAACGCGGCACUCCGCGGCCUCCCGGGUAGACGGUCUCCACCACUACUUGCUUCUGUUCAUCUCUGACGGCAGAGUUAAAUAAAAUUAAUACUAUUAUUGAAUGCCAAUUUUCAUGUUUAAUUUUAUGGCCAAAUGUGACAAUAAUAGUCAAGAGUUGGCACUAAAAAAAGGUGCUGUGAUUUUUGAAGAGUCUAUAAAAAAAUGGUGGUUUUUAAAAUACCAGAUCAUAUGAUUCAGUCUUUGAACAGCGGAUAGCCUCACCAGGGAAGUCACAAUGACAUUUAAAUACAAAUCAAGGAGUCGGAUCUCAGGAGGCUAGCCACAUAUAAUUCAACUGAACUUUCAUUGAGAGAUAGUUGUUAGUUAUAAGACUAGCUUUCCAAAUGUAUGUGGUACAUCAUAUGUGAAUCGAUUGCCUGUGCAGAACACCAGCCUAUGCUGUUUUGCAAAGAAGUACGAUGCCAAGUGAGAGGGAAGCAGUCAUCUUCCUGACUCGUCCAUCCUGAAUGAGAAGGGACUUUGAGCAGACAAGGAAACGGCGUGAACACGGACGUAUGGAUCACGCCCUGAGAGAGGAUCAUUUUAUCCUUCAGCCUCCUAGAUCAAUUAUGGUAAAAAAGAGAAAUCCUUCUUCAUUAUUAUUUUCUUUUUUUUUUUUUUU
This 1211-nucleotide long non-coding RNA is filed under the name Homo sapiens (human). RNAcentral's name for it is "HSALNT0350480". The record is from RNAcentral. Lineage: Eukaryota; Metazoa; Chordata; Mammalia; Primates; Hominidae.